This 255-nucleotide ribosomal RNA is filed under the name uncultured bacterium. Its description in RNAcentral is "partial 16S ribosomal RNA". It matches the Rfam family "Bacterial small subunit ribosomal RNA", at positions 524 to 776 of the family's 1533-position model. The record is from RNAcentral.
UACGAAGGGUGCAAGCGUUACUCGGAAUUACUGGGCGUAAAGCGUGCGUAGGUGGUUGUUUAAGUCUGUUGUGAAAGCCCCGGGCUCAACCUGGGAAUGGCAAUGGAUACUGGCAGGCUAGAGUGCGGUAGAGGGUAGUGGAAUUCCCGGUGUAGCGGUGAAAUGCGUAGAGAAUCGGGAGGAACACCAGUGGCGAAGGCGGCUACCUGGACCAGCACUGACACUGAGGCACGAAAGCGUGGGGGAGCAAACAGG